UCGGGAUAGCUCAGCUGGUAGAGCAGAGGACUA
This 33-nucleotide transfer RNA is filed under the name Dipteropeltis poranoides. Its description in RNAcentral is "partial tRNA-Phe". Lineage: Eukaryota; Viridiplantae; Streptophyta; Magnoliopsida; Solanales; Convolvulaceae. The record is from RNAcentral.